UGUGAUUAGCUCAGUUGGGUAGAGCAGUGAACUUAAAAUUCACAGGUCGCAGGUUCAAUUCCUGUGUCACAACCA
This 75-nucleotide transfer RNA is filed under the name Calditrichota bacterium. RNAcentral describes it as "Calditrichaeota bacterium tRNA-Leu". It matches the Rfam family "tRNA". From Rfam's summary of the family: Transfer RNA (tRNA) molecules are approximately 80 nucleotides in length. Their secondary structure includes four short double-helical elements and three loops (D, anti-codon, and T loops). Lineage: Bacteria; Pseudomonadati; Calditrichota. The record is from RNAcentral.